GGGGCUGUAGCUCAGUUGGUAGAGCGCGUCAAUCGCACUGAUGAGGUCAGGGGUUCGAGUCCCCUCAGCUCCACCA
RNAcentral lists this transfer RNA (76 nucleotides) under Anaerolineae bacterium. RNAcentral describes it as "tRNA-Ala". It matches the Rfam family "tRNA". From Rfam's summary of the family: Transfer RNA (tRNA) molecules are approximately 80 nucleotides in length. Their secondary structure includes four short double-helical elements and three loops (D, anti-codon, and T loops). The record is from RNAcentral. Lineage: Bacteria; Bacillati; Chloroflexota; Anaerolineae.